Chenopodium quinoa (quinoa) is the source of this 399-nucleotide long non-coding RNA. RefSeq lists it as uncharacterized. NCBI's taxonomy places the organism in Eukaryota, Viridiplantae, Streptophyta, Magnoliopsida, Caryophyllales, Amaranthaceae. The record is from RefSeq and is a predicted model, not a curated record. The transcript is spliced from 2 exons.
UUGAUAAAACAAAAACCCUAAAUCCCAGUUAUUCUUGCAAAUUAGAGAGAAAAUGGAAGUGGGUGCGAAGAGAGAGAACGAGAAGCAGAAGAAGACUGAAAAACCUCCUUAUGUCGUUGCCAAAGAUGAUACCAAGCCUGUUCUUCAAGACCCUUUAUGGAGUUCAGACCCAACUCAAGCUGAACAAGCAGUGCUGCGGUUGCCACCAUUUCCCUUCAGAUCAAAAUCUCAGCUCAGUUGAGAUAUUAUGCUGAUUUGCUCCAUUUGUAAGAGCUUUUCUGUGUUUUUUUUGGAUUUGUACUUUUGUUGGUUUUUGAACUGAUGUACAAGUAUAUUCAUAAUAAUUACGUUAAUGAGUAAUUGAAUGAUGUGCUGAUAAAAUUAUGAAAUUCUGUGGUA